GGAAGGGUGGCAGAGCGGUUGAAUGCACCGGUCUUGAAAACCGGCGUCCUCUCACGAGGACCGUGGGUUCGAAUCCCACCCCUUCCGCCA
RNAcentral lists this transfer RNA (90 nucleotides) under Povalibacter uvarum. RNAcentral's name for it is "tRNA-Ser". It matches the Rfam family "tRNA". Rfam says of the family: Transfer RNA (tRNA) molecules are approximately 80 nucleotides in length. The record is from RNAcentral. Lineage: Bacteria; Pseudomonadati; Pseudomonadota; Gammaproteobacteria; Steroidobacterales; Steroidobacteraceae.